AGUUUGAUUCGGCUCAGAUUGAACGCUGGCGGGAUGUUUACACAUGCAAGUCGAAACGGCAGUACGGACUUCGGUCUGCGUGGCGAGUGGCGAACGGUGAGUAAUGCAUCGGAACGUGCCUAUAGUAGCGGGGAUAACUACGCGAAAGCGUAGCUAAUACCGCAUACGCCCUUCGGGGAAAGCGGGGGACCUUUCGGGCCUCGCACUAUUAGAGCGGCCGAUAUCGGAUUAGCUAGUUGGUGGGGUACGUUCACUGGUUGGCGACGAUCCGUAGCUGGUUUGAGAGGACGACCAGCCACACUGGGACUGAGACACGGCCCAGGACUCCUGGAGGCAGCAGUGGGGGGAAUUUUUGGGACAAUGGGGGAAACUCCGAUCCAGCCAUCCCGCGUGCGCGAUGAAGGCCUUCGGGUUGUAAAGCACUUUUGGCAGGAAAGAAACGGCACGGGAUAAUACCCCGUGCAACUGACGGUACCUGCAGAAUAAGCACCGGCUAACUACGUGCCAGCAGCCGCGGUAAUACGUAGGGUAAGCGUUAAUCGGAAUUACUGGGCGUAAAGGGUGCGCAGGCGGGUUCGGAAAGAAAGAUGUGAAAUCCCAGAGCUUAACUUUGGAACUGCAUUUUUAACUACCGAGCUAGAGUGUCAGAGGGAGGUGGAAUUCCGCGUGUAGCAGUGAAAUGCGUAGAUAUGCGGAGGAACACCGAUGGCGAAGGCAGCCUCCUGGGAUAACACUGACGCUCUGCACGAAAGCGUGGGGAGCAAACAGGAUUAGAUACCCUCGGUAGUCCACGCCCUCAAACGAUGUCAACUAGCUGUUGGGGCCUUCGGGCCUUGCAGCGCAGCUAACGCGGUUGACCGCCUGGGGAGUACGGUCGCAAGAUUAAAACUCAAAGGAAUUGACGGGGACUGCACAAGCGGUGGAUGAUGUGGAUUAAUUGAUGCAACGCGAAAAACCUUACCUACCCUUGACAUGUCUGGAAUCCCGAAGAGAUUUGGGAGUGCUCGCAAGAGAACCGGAACACAGGUGCUGUACAUGGCUGUCGUCAGCUCGUGUCGUGAGAUGUUGGGUUAAGUCCUGCAACGAGCGCAACCCCUUGUCAUUAGUUGCUACGAAAGGGCACUCUAAUGAGACUGCCGGUGACAAACCGGAGGAAGGGUGGGGAUGACGUCAAGUCCUCAUGGCCCCUAUGGGUAGGGCUUCAUACACGUCAUACAAUGGUCGGGACAGAGGGUCGCCAACCCGCGAGGGGGAGCCAAUCCCAGAAACCUGAUCGUAGUCCGAUCGUGUCCGCAACUCGACUGCGUGAAGUCGGAAUCGCUAGUAAUCGCGGAUCAGCAUGUCGCGGUGAAUACGUUCCCGGGUCUUGUACACACCGCCCGUCACACCAUGGGGAGUGGGUUUUACCAGAAGUAGUUAGCUUCCAACCGUAAGGAGGGCGAUUACCACGGUAGGAUUCAUGACUGGGGUGAAGUCGUAACAAGGUAA
Molecule: ribosomal RNA, 1488 nt
Filed under: uncultured Bordetella sp.
Lineage: Bacteria; Pseudomonadati; Pseudomonadota; Betaproteobacteria; Burkholderiales; Alcaligenaceae
Description: partial 16S-23S ribosomal RNA intergenic spacer
Rfam family: Bacterial small subunit ribosomal RNA
Source: RNAcentral